AACAAACGCAAAGGAAGAGCUGACUAUACAUACAUAUAAAAUACACAAUAUACAUAUAUAUAUUAGGGUUUAUAUAUAAAAAUCUGUAUCUGUCUAUUUCACAUCCGCUCUCUCACUCAAACCAUACUUCCAAACCCUCGUGAAGUCCCAGCGAUUCCGAUAAUCGAACUCUAGGGUUUGUCUUCGUAUUCUUAAAUUUCUUCGCUUGGAAUAUAUGAAACUUCAUGUGAGGCUCGUUGGACUCUUCAAUUGAUUAAUGUUCUUUUGCUAGCAAGGUUGAAGGUUUUAUGCAGCAAAUUAGCGGAGUUUGAUUGAUUUAUUAAUAAAGUUUAGCUGCUUAAAAUGUAUGGUCAGGGUAAUUAUGGACCUCAGUUUGGGCCAGGUUCCGAAACACCCAUGUCUCAAUUCCAACACCGCCCUAUGGUUCCUCCUCCUCCUCCUCCUCCUCCUCCUUUCCAGCAGGGCCCUCCAGCUUCACAACCUUCUUUAAUACAACAAGUUCCUCCAUCUAUUCCACCUCACAUUGUUCCUUCUGGCCCUGCUUUGUAUCAACAUGCUCCACCUCCCCCAGCUCAGCAAGGCCCGACUAUGCAAGUCCCAACAAGUGGAAUGUUGAAUGCAGGGCAAUCUUACUUGCUACCGCCCCCGCCCCCACCCUCACCCCAGCAAUUCCAUGGAAAUACCUCUAUGGCACAUACGCAGCAGAACUCCCAAUGGACCCAUAAUAUGCAUCAUAUUCCACCACCUGUCCCUCCUCCUCUUGGUCCAAGUAGCUCAGAAAUGUGCCGGCAAUCAUUACCUCCUAGAAUAUUACCCACACCUUCACAAGGGCAAACUCCACAUAGAGGCCCAAUUCAUCUACAGCAGCCAGAUAGUGUGCAGGGUACUCAACAAAUCCCACUGCCACCACCACCUCCACCGCCCCCACCCACAUCUAGUUUCUUCACUUCUGCUCCAUUUGGAUCUUUUGUGCAUUCAGCCCAUCAGGAUCCCGGGGCAUUGCCACCGCCGCCGCCACUACCGUCAUCUCCUCCACCCCUUCCACCUUCUCCACCACCGCCUACAUCUCCCCCUCCUUUUGGAGCCCUGCCUUCUACACCUCUACUUACUGCUUUUGACUUGUCCUGUAAUUCCAAAUCAGGUCCAACUUCCAAUCAUUCAGGCUUUGAAGUGAUGGCAUCUGAUUCUGUUAAUGAAGUUGUGGUUUCCACCCAAAUCAGAGAUGAUGCACCUGUGUUUGAUGACUAUAAAAAUUUUGAAGGCAUGAUCAGCUGUGAGGUGGGUUCCAUUGUGAAAGACGAUUUAUCAGCUGUGGAAGGUACAAAAUUGGAUCUACCUCCACCCAAGCCGGUGGAAGAGAAAGUUGUGCGGAAAAUUGAAAUUCUAUGUCAUUUUAUUGCAAAGAACGGUCGUGGUUUUGAAGAUAUGGCUCGUCAGAAAGAGUCGGGGAAUCCUGAGUUUGAAUUUUUGUUUGGUGGUGAGCCAGGAAGUGAAGCUGCAGUUGCACAUGAAUAUUUUGAAAGGAUGAAAAAGAAAUGUAUUUUGCAGCACGAGCAUAGUAAUUCAGCCUUAGGGCCUUCAGACAUUGACACUUUAACGCAAACUAAUUUUUUGAUGGAUGCAGGUGUAUCCCAUUCACCAACUGAUUCUGACAUGGAUAUGGAAGAUGAUAUCACCCAGCCUGAUGCAGAGCAGCGGGUUUAUACCUCAUUUGAAAGUCUGAAUCCUGAGACUGUAUUGAUACCCAAAGAGCUUGAUAUUCGAGAGCAGUUAUGUGCAUCACAGAAUGCUGAUGAAUAUAGUCCUGUGAAGGACAAUGCAUCCAGGUCCUCGGGACUGGAUGGCCAAGAAAAAGGGUCCAAACUCUUUCCUGAUCAUGAUCACUUUACCUUUGGAAGGUCACUUUCCAAAGUUGAUAGCUCUAUCAUGAAUUCAGAUGGAAGCCCCUCAAACAGCGAUGUAGAAAAAUCUUCUGUUCCACUCCUAGAAGAUUUAACUCAAUCCAACGUGUCAGAAGCUGCAGGAGGUGUUCGGUCUGAGAAAUUUCCUGGUGAACUCGUCAAAGGUGCUAGCCCUUUCAGACUUUUACAAGACUAUGCUUCUGAUGAUAGUUCAGAAGAUGAUGAGAAGCCUUGUCUUGAAGAUGUGAGCCCUGUAACAGUUUCACCAUUGACUACAGCAGGUGCUACAAGUUUGCACGGAGAUAUAGGAUCUAAUUUACGGACAGAUCCAGCAUCGAAGGAUCUCUCAAGCUCUGAGAUGGCAUUUGGAAUAUUGUCCGAGUCUGUUGUGGCAUGUCCUUCGAGCAUGCCAUUAAAUGCUUGGGAUUUCCCCCCAGAAUCACUAAGGAAUGCUAGGAAAACAACAAUAACAUCCAUUGCAACUGUUAAAACAGAAGAAAUGGUUGGAAAUAACAGUGAAAAUAAAGUAUCUAUUAAAAAUGCUGCUUCUGAGGCUUUGCAACAAAAAGAUGCCUUUGAUGGUGUUGAUGCUGCUGCUGCUUCUGCUGCUGAGAGUGUCAAGUCUCAGUCUCGGAAGGAAGAUGUUAAAAAUACGUCUACUCUCCCAAAAGUUGAUGAGUUUGGUAGAUUAGUCAGAGAAGGUGCUAGUGACAGUGACUCUGAUGAAUCACGCUAUACUGGAAGGCGUGGUAAGAGAGGGAGAAGUUGGAGCCGAAGCCGAUCCCCUCAUGAUAGGAGGAGGAAGAGUCCCCGGAGGAGAAGGGUGAAGAAGCGAAGCCGGUCUCGCAGUUGGUCUCCCAAAAAACGAAGCAGGAGCAGGUCUCCCACGUAUAGGCGCGGGGUUGAAUCUGGUGGUGACAAAAUGAGAUGGAACAGGGGUCAGCCUCCAGCAUGUUUUGACUUUCUUCGAGGCAGGUGCCACCGUGGAGCAUUUUGUCGGUAUGUGCAUGACAUUGACAAGAGUGAUGGUGCAAGACGCUAUAGGAGCAAACAUCAGUAUCUGGAAGUUCCACCUGUUUCAAGGACUUCUGAUUUUCAUGAAGAGAUUGAGAAAACCCUGCCUAAAAGAUCAGUUCAUGAGCAGGAUAUGCCUGAAAGCAGUUUUGGUGCUCUGAAGGAUGAGAACAUGGACGCGGGGAAAAUAUUAGUUUCUGUGCAAACUAGAAUUUCUAAUCAAGAUGACAAGUCUUUGGUUGCUGAAGUGGCUAAAUCUGAGAGGUCUGUAGAGGUAACCGCAGUCGUGCAGGAUACUCGAGAUAUUAAAGAAGAGAUACAGGAAUCCUUUUCCGGAUGUCCUGAUCAUGAAAAUUCCAUUUCCGGACGUCCUGAUCAUGAAAAUUGUCCAGAACAAAUAGAAACUGUUCAGCCUGUUGAUGGUUCUCCCUCUUGUCUGUUAACUGAUGAUGUUGGUGCCCCAACAUCACCUGGUGAUACUGCUCAUGGCAUAGCUUUGGUUGAAAAGUUGGUGAUUCCGCAUCCUCAAGCUAAUCUCUCUCUUCCAGUGCUUCAGAACACCGAUUACCAUUCUCAGUAUGCAGAUGACUGUUCUACAUCUGAAUUUUCACAACUUCAGAAAUCAAUAACCUUUCAAAAUCAGCUUUCAGUUAGUGAACCUCUUCUGAAUAAGAUCUCUUCAGUUCAGAAUCAUGGUACAGGUUCUAUUAACCAAUCAUUUUCAUCUCAAUCCCUGCCUCCUAAGGAGUUCACUCCAGUCAUUCUUCCUGCUGUGGAUUUUCCAGUUCAUCAUUUGCAUUUACCGCCUCCCCCUCCCUCAUUUUCACAAGGCACAAGUAUCCCUCAUGUGCCACAGCUGCCCAGGGAACACGAUUUGACGCAACCAACUUUGAAAUUUUCAUCUCUCUCUCCUCAUAUGGAAAACUGUCCUCCUUAUCAAGGUUCAAUGCAAAACCAGAAUUCCCAUUUUGCAAUGCCACCAAACUACUCUUGGUCCCUGCCACCACCACCGCCGUUGCCUCCCCGACCAUCAUUUGUUAACAAUUCAGCUGUAAAUGCAGCAACUGCAAUGCAAGGUGUUCCUUUGUUACAAUUUCAACAGAAUCAGCUGCCUCCAAGAAAUGAUUUAACUUCGUUGACUUUUUUAAGGCCUUACCCACAUGAACUGCCUGCUCAUUCUCAGGUGGGUGAGUUUCACCAUCACAACUACUCUCUAAUGCAAGGGCCAGAGCCUCCUCAACGUUCCUUGCACAUGAAAGAUUUCAGACCAAAAACUCUCCCUAUGAGCAACCCAGUGAGUCAACCAUUUGGAAGUACAGGUCUUGUUGGAGAAGAUCACUUCUCACAGUUUCCAGUUCAGGGUUUAAAUCCUCCAAAUUCAUUUGCUCACAGCAACAUACCCCCUCAACCUUUGCCUUCUCUGAGGGAUUCAGCAUCAAGGACAAUGCAGUCUUUCCCAGGUGACAACCUGUCUUCAGGAAGAUUUUUUAGUUCAUCUCCUCAGAAUCAUACUUACUCGCAACAUCAAAGGCCACUCUAUGGUCUGCAGCGGCCUUCUGCUGAUGGUCUUGCUGAAAAUUUGGGUGAUUAUGGAAACAUUAAUCCUUCCUUGUCAAGAUAUACAUCAGAUAUUCUUGACAAGAAUCAGCCAUCUCACCUGUCUGAUUUUGGAGGGUCAAGAAUUUCAAACUACUACAAUCCUUAUGCUUCCACUUUUGACCAGCCACUAAGGUCCAAAUUCAGCUCUAAUGUUUUCAAUCCAGAAAAGGACAUGCCCCACAGUAAUUUAGGUGAUGCUCCUUACAGUUUGAGCCAUGUUCCAGCUGAUGGACAUGGUGUUGGAAGUCUUGGUUCUAGACACAUGAAAUCCUCACCAAAGUCUUCCAGGCCUGCUGAUUUACCUAGGUCAGGCAGUGAUCAGUAUGAUCCACUUUUUGACAGCAUUGAGCCAUCUGAAAACUCAUUGAAGAAAUUUGAUUAUGAUCCGAAGCAUCAACCCACUGGUUCCCAGAAGCUAUUAGACGUGGAAGAAGAAAGGAAGAAAGAUGUUGGAGUUGUUACGGUAACUACAUCAGUAAAAAGUGAAAAUGAUGAAUAUGGCGAGACAGCAGAUGCAGAAGUGGAUGAUGUGGACAAUGCAAGUGCAAGCAAUCCACUUGAUGCAACAAAUACAUCAGCGGGAGAGAUUGAGAUUGAUCAAAUUAAGACGCCAGGGAAGAGCAAGAAGAGUAAAGAUUCAAGAUCAAUGAAACUUUUCAAGGUAGCCCUUGCAGAUUUUGUGAAGGAGGUGCUAAAGCCAUCCUGGCGACAGGGUAGUAUGAGCAAGGAGGCAUUUAAGACGAUUGUCAAGAAGACUAUUGACAAGGUGUCUGGAGCUAUGAAGAGCCACCAAAUACCUAAGUCUCAGGCGAAGAUUAAUCAUUAUAUUGACUCAUCACAGCGGAAACUCACUAAACUUGUGAUGGGCUAUGUUCAGAAGUAUGUCAAAGUAUAGAAGUUGAUGUCAGCUUUUGUUUCAGCACAUGAUGGAAGAAAAUUUUGAUUUGAACUACUAUGGAAAGGGGAAUCUGCAGUUGUUGCGAGGAAAUGUGAGCACGUGCUCUGAUGUGUAGAGUUUGUAGCUGGCAAUGUACCCAUAAAAUGUCAUGACACAUUAGAAGAUUAACUUGGGAAAAUCGGUUCCAAACUCAGUAAGUUCUGAGGAAACUCAAAUCUUGUAUGUAAUGCACCUAAUGAUUUUGAUCAGUGUUUUUUAGGCGAUGGUUCUUUUUUUUUUUUUUUUUUUUGAACAACAAAGAAUUUUUUGAGUACAAGCAAGAAAAAAAGAGAGAACAAGGAGUCCUCAUACAAUGAAAGAUACCAAAGAAAAGAAAAAGAAAAAGGAAUUAACGAGAAAAUUCCAAUCACUAAGAAUGACAAAUAAUAGUCCAAUCCCUAGAAAUCAAGAAAAAUGGAGCUCCUUUAAAAGGAGGAGACACAAAAGCCCGAAAUGAAGCUAAAUAUCCCGCCUAAUCCCGUAAAGAUUCUGCAUAUGACUCCUUUCCAUCAAAUAUUUGUGUGUUCUUUUCAGCCAAAUAAACCCAAAGAUAGCUAAAACAAUAAAAGAUUACAAUGUUUCGGCUCUCUUAUUGCUGCCAAACCCUUUGAACCUAACAAGAAGCAUGUGUGUGUACUCCCUCGGAGCAACCCACUGAUCAUCACACAAACCAAAAAGACGCUGCCAUAAUAAAAGAGCCACUGGACAAUGAAGAGAUAAAUGAUCCGCCAAUUCCCAAUUCCGAAUUCGGAUAGCAUGUCACGCGCCAUUGAGGACACAAAAAAUAAUUAGGCCUUCUCCUUUGGAAGAGAUCAUUGGUCAUGACACCUCCUUGAGCUACGGACUACAUGAAAAAUUUUACUUUAUGAGGAACAACCGCUUUCCAAAUUUCCAAAUUUUCUUAUGAAGAAAGAAACAAAGGAACAAAAGGUUUAUCAAUGAGUUUGUCAAACAAAGAUUUACAUGAGAAAAUCCUUGAAGAGAUGAUAUUCCAAACCCUUUUAUCGCUGGAAGAAGAUGAAGAAAUCCUAUCAAUCAAUGACAACAAAACUGCCAAUUCAAGACUCUUAUCGCUUAAAUUCUUAAGGAAAUUGAAAUUCCAAGAGAUUGGUGCCACGUUAGAAGAUGCCACUGAUGUAAUUGAAACAUUUUGAGAACGGACCAAUCUAUAUAGAAGUGGAAAAGCUCUAUCAAAAGAGAUAUCCCCUGUCUAAACAUCUGUCCCAAACCGGAUGCUAACCCCAUUACCUACUUUCAAAGAUAAGAAACUAGACACUAGUGGGGACAAACGAGAUUUAGACUACUAAGGAGAACGAUAAUUGUCUCUACUAACCGCAAUAGAAUCUCUGCCAUUGGCAUGAAUUCUAUACUUGCUUUUAAUAAUGAAACACCAUAACGAUUCACGUUUGGCAAGAAAUCUCCAUAACUACUUGCUCAAGAGAGCAAUAUUCCUAUCAACAAUACUCCCUAUAGCAAGACCCCCUUUAUACCUGGGAAGAGAGACAACCUCCCACUUAACUAAGUGAUCCCAUUUACCCUCAUCACACCCUUCCCAAAGAAAGUCUCAUCAAUUUCUCAAAUUUUUUUUUUUUUGCAAGCUUGACUGGGGAUCUUGAACAAAGACAAAGUAAAUAGGAAUGCAACUCAACACGAACUGCACCAAAAUGUAUCCCUCCCCCUACAACAACAGACAACAAUGCUCACUUCCACCCCUCCAAUAUUUUCCCAAUCAUAACAAGGACAAGGUUUCAAAAAGUCUCUGCUCUAGGAUUUCCCCCCAAUGAAAGUCCCAAAUACUUAAAAAGGAAACUUCUCAAUGGGACAACUUAACAUGAUUGCCAUGUGGCCAUGCUCCCACCCAAUAGCAGGGGGACACAUGGCCAUCUUGUCUGAAGAAGAAGGGAACAAUGUGGUUGAAUGCCCCUCUGCUAUUGGGAGGAUAAUUUUUCCUCAUCAAGACACUGGAUUCUUACAUUUUCAGUGUAGUCAGUAGCAUUGAAAAGAUUGAAAUGAAAAUGAAUCAGUAGCAUUUUUUUUACAGAGUAAUCUAAUGUGUUUUUAUUAUUAUUUUUUUCUUUAUGAUUCAACACAGAUCUCCCCUAUCCAUGUUAGGUUAUUUUAUUUUGUUGGACAUUGUUCACGAUCAUAUGUACUGGAAAAAGAAAGAAAAAUAUAUGAUAUUGAAAUUCUUUAAAGGAAUGCUAGAGUUUUUGAUGGGAAAUGUGAAGAUAUUGAGAGUUUGUGGGAAGGAAAUUGUUUUUUGGCAUCUUUCUGGAUUUCAAUGCCGCCUCCUUUUGAAGGGAUCCCUCUUUUUCUUGUUUCUAGGGAUUGGAGAGCUGCUUGUAGAAUGUGAGAUGUUUUUUUCUGUUUGUACUUUCUUCUUUUCUUGCUUGCCUUCUUUGUACUUCAUCUUUUUUUCUUAAUAUAGUUUUAGCUUUUAUUUUUGACAAAAAGAAAGAAAGAAAGAAAGAAAGAAAUAAA
Molecule: RNA transcript, 7932 nt
Organism: Camellia sinensis
Lineage: Eukaryota; Viridiplantae; Streptophyta; Magnoliopsida; Ericales; Theaceae
Source: RefSeq, a predicted model, not a curated record